Molecule: long non-coding RNA, 339 nt
Organism: Ixodes scapularis (black-legged tick)
Lineage: Eukaryota; Metazoa; Arthropoda; Arachnida; Ixodida; Ixodidae
Exons: 3
Source: RefSeq, a predicted model, not a curated record
CGGUUGGGAGAGGAGGUCGCGGUGCAGGCAGCUCGGUCUCUCUCUCCCAUCUCCUGCAGCCUGGCUGUGCUUGUUGGGGGCGAGGGGGCUCUUGCUUAUCGCCUCUGCGGCCGGGUGCCGUUGUUCUCUGUCUAGCGUGGUCUUUUGUUUCCUCGUCGCCGGCCUGUCAAGUUCGCUCCGCGCCCGGUCGCCCGUGCGGCCGUCCGGUGCAGAUUUCGCCGAUGGUCGCUCUCCUACAGCACCGCGGUCCUGUGGGUCUGAGGAUUUCUUCCAGUGCUUCGGUUGGGAGCCCCAGUGAGCGGAAAGUCUCCAGCAUCGUUUCCCGAUCCUCGGAGUAUU